Molecule: non-coding RNA, 2526 nt
Organism: Malus domestica (apple)
Lineage: Eukaryota; Viridiplantae; Streptophyta; Magnoliopsida; Rosales; Rosaceae
Source: RefSeq, a predicted model, not a curated record
CUCUCUCUCUCUCUCUGGGGUAGUAAGUUCCAGAAUAUGAGUUUGUUGACGCUUCCCCCAAGCCGCCCGCACGUCUUUAAGGCUCCCACGCAACCGCCGCAUCUUACUCAUCAAACCCUCUCCCGUCACUCAAUGGACCCACCACUUUCCAUCUCUAUUUAAACCCACCGUUUCCGAAAGCAAACCCCAUCUCUCUCUCUACACAAUAACAACAAAAUUGUCAAAUGGCUCCAACGCCAUCGCUCGCCGGACUCCAGGUCGAGACGACUGCGUUUCCACCGUCCGUCAAACCUCCGGGCUCCCCCAACACUCUGUUCCUCGGCGGCGCAGGGGUGAGGGGGCUGGAGAUUCAGGGGAACUUCGUGAAGUUCACGGCGAUCGGAGUGUACUUGGAGGAAAACGCCGUGCCUCUGCUCGCCGUUAAGUGGAAGGGUAAGACGGCCGAGGAGUUGACGGAGUCCGUUGAGUUCUUCAGGGACAUUGUUACAGGGUCCUUUGAGAAAUUCAUUCAAGUGACAACAUACUGCCCACUGACAGGGCCAGCAAUACUCUGACAAAGUUUCGGAGAAUUGCGUUGCCUUUUGGAAGUCAAUCGGAAUUUACACUGAUGCAGAAGGCAAAGCCAUUGAAAAGUUCCUUGAGGUCUUCAAAGAUCAAAACUUCCCACCCGGCGCCUCCAUUCUUUUCACGCAAUCUCCCAAAGGAUCACUAACGAUUAGCUUCUCUAGAGAUGCAUCCGUACCUGAAGCUGCAAACACGGUGAUAGAAAACAAACUACUUUCCGAGGCAGUUCUAGAGUCGAUCGUUGGAAAGCACGGUGUUUCCCCUGCAGCAAAGCAAAGUUUGGCCGAAAGGUUAUCCAAAUUGUUGAACGGGUGUAAUGAAUCUAAAGAUGCCAAAGCCGGAAAUGAGAAAGAUUGUCAAAUAGCUCCACCACCGUCGCUCGCCGGACUUCAGGUCGAAACGACUGCGUUUCCACCGUCCGUCAAACCUCCGGGCUCCUCCAACACUCUGUUCCUCGGCGGCGCAGGGGUGAGGGGGCUGGAGAUUCAGGGGAACUUCGUGAAGUUCACGGCAAUCGGAGUGUACUUGGAGGAUAACGCCGUGCCUCAGCUCGCCGUUAAGUGGAAGGGUAAGACAGCCGAGGAGUUGAUGGAGUCCGUUGAGUUCUUCAGGGACAUCGUUACAGGUCCGUUUGAGAAAUUCAUUCAAGUGACAACGAUAUUGCCACUGACAGGCCAGCAAUACUCUGACAAAGUUUCGGAGAAUUGCGUUGUCUUUUGGAAGUCAGUCGGAAUUUACACUGAUGCAGAAGGCAAAGCCAUUGAAAAGUUCCUUGAGGUCUUCAAAGAUCAAAAUUUCCCACCCGGUGCUUCCAUUCUUUUCACACAAUCUCCCAAAGGAUCACUAACGAUUAGCUUCUCUAGAGAUGCAUCCGUACCUGAAGCUGCAAACACGGUGAUAGAAAACAAACUACUUUCCGAUGCAGUUCUAGAGUCGAUCGUUGGAAAGCACGGUGUUUCCCCUGCAGCAAAGCAAAGUUUGGCCGGAAGGUUAUCCGAAUUGUUGAACGGGUGUAAUGAAUCUAAUGAUGCCAAAGCUGGAAAUGAGAAAGAUUGUCAAAUAGCUCCACCACCGUCGCUCGCCGGACUUCAGGUCGAAACGACUGCGUUUCCACCGUCCGUCAAACCUCCGGGCUCCCCCAACACUCUGUUCCUCGGCGGCGCAGGGGUGAGGGGGCUGGAGAUUCAGGGGAACUUCGUGAAGUUCACGGCAAUCGGAGUGUACUUGGAGGAUAACGCAGUGCCUCAGCUCGCCGUUAAGUGGAAGGGUAAGACAGCCAAGGAGUUGACGGAGUCCGUUGAGUUCUUCAGGGACAUCGUUACAGGUCCAUUUGAGAAAUUCAUUCAAGUGACAACGAUACUGCCACUGACAGGCCAGCAAUACUCUGAGAAAGUUUCGGAGAAUUGCAUUGCCUUUUGGAAGUUAGUCGGAAUUUACACGGAUGCGGAAGGCAAAGCCAUUGAAAUGUUCCUUGAGGUUUUCAAAGAUCAAAAUUUCCCACCCGGCGCCUCCAUUCUUUUCACACAAUCUCCCAAAGGAUCACUAACGAUUAGCUUCUCUAGAGAUGCAUCCGUACCUGAAGCUGCAAACGUGGUGAUAGAAAACAAACUACUUUCCGAGGCAGUUCUAGAGUCGAUCGUUGGAAAGCACGGUGUUUCUCCUGCAGCAAAGCAAAGUUUGGCCACGAGGUUAUCCGAAUUGUUGAAUGGGUGCAAGGAAUCUAAUGGUGUUGAAGCCGGAAAUGAAAGGGCGGAGGCAUGAAAACUGAGAGAGGAGAAAUAAAACUUGAGAGGGAUUCCUGUUCUAUGUUUAGUGAAUUAUUUACAUACAAUCUAUGAAGCUAUAGGAAAGUGCUAUGUCUUAUUUAAUUUAAAGAAAAAUGAUCAUGUUUUAUGAGAAAUAUUAGUGUUGUUUUGUUAUAUGUUUAAUUCAAAUCAACAAAUAUAGAUGUCGAUUGGUAAA